This is a long non-coding RNA of Maylandia zebra (zebra mbuna), 588 nucleotides long. RefSeq lists it as uncharacterized. The record is from RefSeq and is a predicted model, not a curated record. Lineage: Eukaryota; Metazoa; Chordata; Actinopteri; Cichliformes; Cichlidae.
AAAUCCUCAGCCUCUUGUUUAUGAGAUUAAGAAAAAAAGAAGAAGAAAAGAAAGAAAAACUCCAAAAGGAGGACAUGUUGUCUUUUCAGAUGAGGACCAAAAUGGUACCAGAGUCAUCAAGCUGUGGAGGAUCAGGGGUCACUGUGAGGAAUCCCGUCUCCGCUACUGGACUCAAAGUUUUCUAUCCCCACAUGCGAGCAGAGCUGUGCAAACAGAUCUCACUUCAAGCAGAUUACAAAUAAAAUUGCUCUGCGAACAAAACAAAAAUGUUCUCACACUCUUUGCAGAAGAUUCGUGCUUUUUCUUAUUUUAGAAAAUAAGCUAAAAUGUGUAUAAUUUUUAUUUUUUUGUUUAUUUAUUUAAAUGUAAAUUUGUCCCUGAAAGUUAUUACUACAAUCAUAUUGUAUUCAGGUCUUUGUAUUUCGUCAUUUUAAUGACUUACUCAUAAAUUAACCCAAUAAACGUGUAAUGUAAAAUUUCUGUACGUCGACAGUGUAUUAAUGCAUCUUUUUGGAGUAACCCUUUUAAACUGUAUCUCAGCAAAGUGACUGAAACCUAUUUAUUUAAUAAAAAUGUAAUUUAAAAAAA